This 398-nucleotide ribosomal RNA is filed under the name uncultured bacterium. RNAcentral's name for it is "bacterial SSU rRNA". It matches the Rfam family "Bacterial small subunit ribosomal RNA", at positions 358 to 772 of the family's 1533-position model. The record is from RNAcentral.
GGAAUCUUGCACAAUGGCCGAAAGGCUGAUGCAGCGACGCCGCGUGGGCGAUGAAGGUCUUCGGAUCGUAAAGCCCUUUUCUGCGUGACGAGGAAGGACGGUAGCGCAGGAAGAAGCGUCGGCUAACUACGUGCCAGCAGCCGCGGUAAAACGUAGGACGCAAGCGUUAUCCGGAGUGACUGGGCGUAAAGGGCGUGCAGGCGGCGGCUCAAGUGGCUCGUGAAAGACCCCGGCUCAACCGGGGGGGGUCGGGUCAGACUGAGGCGCUAGAGGCAGUCAGAGGGACACGGAAUUCCGGGUGUAGUGGUGAAAUGCGUAGAGAUCCGGAGGAACACCAGUGGCGCAGGCGGUGUCCUGGGGCUGAACUGACGCUGAGACGCGAAAGCAUGGGGAGCGAA